RNAcentral lists this long non-coding RNA (2515 nucleotides) under Calidris pugnax (ruff). Its description in RNAcentral is "lncRNA (ENSCPUG00000016446.1)". Lineage: Eukaryota; Metazoa; Chordata; Aves; Charadriiformes; Scolopacidae. The record is from RNAcentral.
AUGAGCCUGCCUGGGCGGGCCCACGCCGGUGCACUGCCUCAGCUCCUCUGUGCUUCGGCCUACCCAUCCCUUGGCUUGGGAUCGUGCCACGGGAGAGGCCAGAGAAACCAGCCUCGACCCAAACCCUGGGCCAACCCCCAAGCAGAAAACAGCCCGGCUGAGAUGCCCCCUGGGAAGUGCCCUCACCACUUGGUCGGCCACUUUGUUGUUUGUUUUUUUUUUAAAUUCAGAUAAGAAGAACGGGUGAAAAAUAUCUUUUGUAAUAAGAAAACGAGUUUCCUCUGUUCCAAGCGUUGGCUUUGCAACUUGCAAACACCUUGAAGACAGCCAGACCCCCCCCAUCCUGAUCCCCUCUCCGUGCCCACAAGCCGGGCUCUAUAAAGGCAACCCUUCCAGACCCAGGUCCCUGUUGUAAAUACAGACCUGGCUGUGCGGAGAGGUAAUGAAGGAAGGAAAAAAAAAGGGGCAAAGAAAUAGUCCUCGCACCAGAAGAAGCUGGACUUGCCAGCAGAGUACUGUAAAUAGGGACCAGCGCAUGCGUCCAGCAGCUGGGCAAAAGCUUCUGGGGGCAGAGCUGCUCAGAUUUUAUUGUCUUGUGUAAAUAGAGAUAUUUUUUUGGGAAAAAAAAAAAAAAAAAAAAAGAGCCUUAGUAUCUUGAAGAUUGCGUUUCUCAAUCAGCUCAGCUGGGGAUGGAUGGACACACGGGAAACCUCAACCUCGGCCUGGUGGAAGCUGGCGUUGGGCCGCAGCUGGUGGUGGGUGCAGGAGGCACCUGAAAGACAAUAGACACGUCCAGCAAGAGGACUCGGCAGAUGUUUCCUGUUUGUUCCUUGUAAACAGGGUGGACUCACUGGGCCCGUGGUCUCCACUUGGUGUAAAUAGUCACUUACAGCCCACAGAGGACUUGGGCUGCUUGGGGCAGGCGUGUGUGGGGGGUGAGAUGGGCAGAAAACAUGAGAGGGAUGCAAACCCCAUCAGUGUGGGUCCUCCCAGGUUUCUAGCUUUUUUUUGGGGGGGGAAUAAGCAAAGAAAGCCUGAGGACUUGUUAAUGGUGUUGGACCAACUGUUGAGCUGGGUAAAUGGAGGCACACAUAGACACCCCUGUUCAUCUGUGGUUGAGUCACCGUCCCUGGAUGUGUUUAAGGGACGUUUAGAUGGGGUACUGAGGGAUAUGGUGUAGGGGAGGACUUUGUAGAGUAGGGUUGAUGGUUGGACUCGAUGAUCCCAAGGGUCUCUUCCAACCUCAAUGAUUCUAUGAUUCUAUCUCAGCCUCCACAUGCAGUUCUCCUUGGCAUGUUUGCAAAUGUUUGUGCAAGACCGUGCCCUACGUGGGUGGGUGGCUGCCAGCCACGUCUGUGAGAGAAGAAGAGAGGGUAUGGAAGUGUAUGUAUGUUGUGCUCACCUUUCUAUGCCUAAACACCUCUUGAGAAGUCGUAAGUAAGAUGCUGCUGGUCAUUAGGCUGAGCACGGAGUGGUACCCGUGUGAGGGACCACGCAGGUGAGCAAAAACAAAGAAAUCUCUGCUCCUCACUGAAUUGUCACUGGCCGUCCCUGCUGUGACACAACGGGGGCCACCUGCAAACACGUGGACAUGGCUUCUGAUGGAAGCAGGAGAGGAGCUCUCUGAGGUGUCAGCUUCACCCCUUCACAACUCAAAGCUUGCUCGUUUACGCUGAGCCCGACUGUGGGGAUUCGUGCAGCGGAGGGAAAUUAGAAAAGAAAUUGGGAUAAGAAAUUGAAAUUAAAACAAAACAAAACAAAACAAAACAGACAAGAAAAAAGAAGAAAUUUUUGAUCGUGACCCAAAAUAACUUUUUCUAGACAUCAGAGUCUCUCUUCGGCCUGGCAUUUUGCAAGGAAGCAGGGCCACCAAGGUGGAAGAGUCCCCUCCACAUUAAAAAGCCAGAUAGAUCCCAAGGGUCUCUUCCAACCUCAAUGAUUCUAUGAUUCUGUGAUUCUAUAGCAUAAACCAACUAUUGUACAUAUUUGGGGGCCAAGCCCCUAUAGCUAUGCAAGGAAAGGCCAGUGGGCAAUCAAUCAACAGAGGUUGGAAGCUGCCUCAAAGCACUGAGAGGUUUGGGCAUCCAGAGUGGUAAUUGGCUUGCAGUGGGGUCAAGGUGAGCUGCAGGAAUGGUCUUUUCCUCUUGGGUACUUGAAUACCUCCUCUGUCAUCCAGUUCCGUGGGGCUGCUGUUGCCAUUAACACCUAAAAACUGCCAGUGCCAAGCGAUUUAUUGAUUUGUCAAACUGGGGCUCAGGUGCUUUAGUCUGCCACAUAUGGACAGUUCUUCCUUUGGGCAAUUCUCCCAGCCAGGUCCCCAGGCAAGGUGGACAUCAUCUUGGAGAGACCCAGGUUUCCUCCCCAUUAAAGGCUGUCAGCCUUUUUUUCCCAGGGAAAAAAAAAAAAAAAAAAAAAGAAAAAUAUGAACAGCUCACCCCAUCUUUGUGCCAGAAACAUUCUUAUAAUCAGACAGUAUACCAAACAAAUAAAUGCCUCCAAAAAGUUUGAAAGCUCA